RNAcentral lists this unclassified non-coding RNA (343 nucleotides) under soil metagenome. Its description in RNAcentral is "partial contains 5.8S ribosomal RNA, internal transcribed spacer 2, and large subunit ribosomal RNA". The stretch from base 1 to 120 matches the Rfam family "5.8S ribosomal RNA", at positions 35 to 154 of the family's 154-position model. The record is from RNAcentral.
GAUGAAGAACGUAGCGAAAUGCGAUAAGUAAUGUGAAUUGCAGAAUUCCGUGAAUCAUCGAAUCUUUGAACGCAUAUUGCGCCCUCUGGUAUUCCGGAGGGCAUGCCUGUCCGAGCGUCAUUAAAUAACCCUCAAGCAUAGCUUGGUGUUGGGCUUUUUUACGUCCUUGACUGGGAUGGGCCUAAAAAUUAGUGGCGAUGGCUUUUUUACUUUCAAGCGUAGUAAAUCUCGUCUUGCUAAAGAGGAAAAAGAUUUUUUUUCUGCCAAAAAUUUUAACAUUUAAAGUUGACCUCGGAUCAGGUAGGAUUACCCGCUGAACUUAAGCAUAUCAAUAAGCGGAGGA